GACCCCACUGCUAUCGGGGUGGGACUAAAACAUGCAAGUCGAGCGCCUCCAAGCCAUGGUGAAGGCGCGGCAAACGGCUCAGUAACACGUGGCCAACCUACCCUUGGGACGGAGACAACCCCGGGAAACUGGGGCUAAUCCCCGAUAGGCGAGGACUCCUGGAAUGGACCCUCGCCCAAAAGACGUUGAGUCCAUGCUACUCAACGCCGCCCAAGGAUGGAGCCGCGGCCGAUCAGGUAGUUGGCGAGGCAACGGCUCACCAAGCCUAUAACCGGUACGGGCCGUGAAAGCGGGAGCCCGGAGAUGGGCACUGAGACAAGGGCCCAGGCCCUACGGGGCGCAGCAGUUGCGAAAACUCCGCAAUGCGCGAAAGCGUGACGGGGCUACCCCGAGUGCCGCCCGUUGAGGGCGGCUUUUCCACGGUGUAAGGAGCCGUGGGAAUAAGGAGAGGGCAAGCCUGGUGUCAGCCGCCGCGGUAAUACCAGCUCUCCGAGUGGUGGGGACGAUUAUUGGGCUUAAAGCGUUCGUAGCCGGCUCAACAAGUCUCCCGUUAAAUCCAGCGAUCUAAUCGUUGGACUGCGGAAGAUACUGUUGGGCUAGGAGGCGGGAGAAGCCGACGGUAUUCUCGGGGUAGGGGUGAAAUCCUGUAAUCCCGGGAGGACCACCAGUGGCGAAGGCGGUCGGCUAGAACGCGCUCGACGGUGAGGGACGAAAGCUGGGGGAGCGAACCGGAUUAGAAACCCGGAUAGUCCCAGCUGUAAACGAUGCGGGCUAGGUGUUGGGGUGGCCACGAGCCACCUCAGUGCCGCAUGGAAACAAUUAAGCCCGCCGCCUGGGGAGUACGGCCGCAAGGCUGAAACUUAAAGGAAUUGGCGGGGGAGCACCACAAGGCGUGAAGCUUGCGGUUUAAUUGGAGUCAACGCCGGGAACCUUACCGGGGGCGACAGCAGAAUGAAAGCCAGAUUGAAGGUCUUGCUGGACGAGCUGAGAGGAGGUGCAUGGCCGUCGCCAGUUCGUGCCGUGAGGUGUCCUGUUAAGUCAGGCAACGAUCGAGACCCGCCUCCCUUGUUGCUACUGGUGAAUAGCCAGGCACACUAGGGAAACUGCCGUCGAUAAGACGGAGGAAGGAACGGGCCACGGCAGGUCAGUAUGCCCCGAAUCCCCCGGGCCACACGCGAGCUGCAAUGGCAGGGACAAUGGGUUUCGACCCUGAAAAGGGGAGGCAAUCUCUAAACCCUGCCUCAGUCGGGAUCGGGGGCUGCAACUCGCCCUCGUGAACAUGGAAUGCCUAGUAAUCGCGUGUCAUCAUCGCGCGGUGAAUACGUCCCCGCUCC
RNAcentral lists this ribosomal RNA (1334 nucleotides) under uncultured archaeon. RNAcentral describes it as "bacterial SSU rRNA". It matches the Rfam family "Archaeal small subunit ribosomal RNA", at positions 20 to 1336 of the family's 1478-position model. The record is from RNAcentral.